RNAcentral lists this transfer RNA (68 nucleotides) under Champsodon cf. snyderi CBM-ZF 10876. RNAcentral's name for it is "tRNA-Glu". It matches the Rfam family "tRNA". From Rfam's summary of the family: Transfer RNA (tRNA) molecules are approximately 80 nucleotides in length. Lineage: Eukaryota; Metazoa; Chordata; Actinopteri; Acropomatiformes; Champsodontidae. The record is from RNAcentral.
GUUUCUGUAGUUGAAUACAACGAUAUCUUUUCGCGUUAGAAGUCUUGGUUAAAAUCCGAGCAGGAAUU